CCUACGGGUGGCAGCAGUGAGGAAUAUUGGUCAAUGGCCGUAAGGCUGAACCAGCCAAGUAGCGUGAGGGAAGACUGCCCUAUGGGUUGUAAACCUCUUUUAUGCGGGGAUAAAGGUGUCCACGUGUGGAUGUUUGCAGGUACCUCAUGAAUAAGGACCGGCUAAUUCCGUGCCAGCAGCCGCGGUAAUACGGAGGGUCCGGGCGUUAUCCGGAUUUAUUGGGUUUAAAGGGAGCGUAGGCCGGUCUUUAAGCGUGUCGUGAAAUUUUGCGGCUCAACCGUGAAAGUGCGGCGGGGACUGGAAGCCUUGAGUGCGCGGAAGGCAGGCGGAAUUCGUGGUGUAGCGGUGAAAUGCUUAGAUAUCACGAAGAACCCCGAUUGCGAAGGCAGCCUGCCGAAGCGUUACUGACGCUGAAGCUCGAAAGCGCGGGUAUCGAACAGGAUUAGAUACCCGUGUAGUC
RNAcentral lists this ribosomal RNA (460 nucleotides) under uncultured bacterium. RNAcentral describes it as "partial 16S ribosomal RNA". It matches the Rfam family "Bacterial small subunit ribosomal RNA", at positions 338 to 795 of the family's 1533-position model. The record is from RNAcentral.